RNAcentral lists this transfer RNA (77 nucleotides) under Eubacteriales bacterium. RNAcentral's name for it is "tRNA-Arg". It matches the Rfam family "tRNA". Rfam says of the family: Transfer RNA (tRNA) molecules are approximately 80 nucleotides in length. Lineage: Bacteria; Bacillati; Bacillota; Clostridia; Eubacteriales. The record is from RNAcentral.
ACGCCUGUAGCUCAGUUGGAUAGAGUGUCAGACUCCGACUCUGAAGGUCGUGGGUUCGAAUCCCGUCAGGCGUACCA